AUGUUUUUUCACAAGAAAAAAAAUCGAUUCCCAGUCUAUGAAAUGCAAGACAAUGUUGUAUCUCAUCAUCAACUCCUCCCUCAGCUUCUCGAAUUUGCAUUCCUCAGCGGUGUGAUCAGUCAUAGGUUCAUAGCUGACCUCCUGAUUUCAAAACAUCUCUGCAUUCCCCCCUUCUGCAGUCGUGCCCAUACGCUUACUAACACCGCCGUGACAGUAGUUUGUCGCCAUACAGAAGGCAGACCAUCGAACGCAAGGCAAAUUCCUUCCCCAAAUCACUGGGGAGUUCUUGAGUUCUGCAGUAGUAUGUUCAGGAGACACAAUAGCCUGUAA
Molecule: ribosomal RNA, 330 nt
Filed under: Triticum aestivum (bread wheat)
Lineage: Eukaryota; Viridiplantae; Streptophyta; Magnoliopsida; Poales; Poaceae
Description: partial small subunit ribosomal RNA
Source: RNAcentral